This 75-nucleotide transfer RNA is filed under the name Candidatus Woesebacteria bacterium RIFCSPHIGHO2_01_FULL_44_21. RNAcentral describes it as "tRNA-Thr". It matches the Rfam family "tRNA". Rfam says of the family: Transfer RNA (tRNA) molecules are approximately 80 nucleotides in length. Their secondary structure includes four short double-helical elements and three loops (D, anti-codon, and T loops). The record is from RNAcentral. Lineage: Bacteria; Candidatus Woeseibacteriota. RNAcentral also lists the same sequence under 1 other name.
GCCGGCAUAGCUCAGUGGUAGAGCAACGCUUUUGUAAAGCGAAGGUCGUAGGUUCAAAUCCUAUUGCCGGCUCAA